RNAcentral lists this ribosomal RNA (370 nucleotides) under uncultured organism. RNAcentral describes it as "bacterial SSU rRNA". It matches the Rfam family "Bacterial small subunit ribosomal RNA", at positions 526 to 896 of the family's 1533-position model. The record is from RNAcentral.
CGUAGGGUGCAGGCGUUUAAUCGGAAUUACUGGGCGUAAAGCGUGCGCAGGCGGUUUGCUAAGACAGGUGUGAAAUCCCCGGGCUUAACCUGGGAACUGCGCUUGUAACUGGCAGGCUAGAGUGUGGCAGAGGGGGUGGAAUUCCACGUGUAGCAGUGAAAUGCGUAGAGAUGUGGAGGAACACCGAUGGCGAAGGCAGCCCCCUGGGCUAACACUGACGCUCAUGCACGAAAGCGUGGGGAGCAAACAGGAUUAGAUACCCUGGUAGUCCACGCCCUAAACUAUGUCAACUGGUUGUCGGGGAAGCAAUUCCUUGGUAACGAAGCUAACGCGUGAAGUUGACCGCCUGGGGAGUACGGCCGCAAGGUUA